GUGCGAAGGAUAGCUUAGUUGUAGAGUAUGAGACUCUUAAUCUCAGGGUCAUAGUUUUGAGCCCCAAGUUUGGACA
Molecule: non-coding RNA, 76 nt
Organism: Podarcis lilfordi (Lilford's wall lizard)
Lineage: Eukaryota; Metazoa; Chordata; Lepidosauria; Squamata; Lacertidae
Source: the annotation of a GenBank genome assembly